RNAcentral lists this ribosomal RNA (326 nucleotides) under uncultured bacterium. RNAcentral's name for it is "bacterial SSU rRNA". It matches the Rfam family "Bacterial small subunit ribosomal RNA", at positions 28 to 334 of the family's 1533-position model. The record is from RNAcentral.
GAUGAACGCUGGCGGCGUACUUAACACAUGCAAGUCGAACGGAGUGCCUUUGAAAGAGGAUUCGUCCAAUUGAUAAGGUUACUUAGUGGCGGACGGGUGAGUAACGCGUGAGGAACCUGCCUUGGAGUGGGGGAAUAACACAGUGAGAAUUGUGCUAAUACCGCAUAAUGCAGUUGGGUCGCAUGACUCUGACUGCCAAAGAUUUAUCGCUCUGAGAUGGCCUCGCGUCUGAUUAGCUAGUUGGUGGGGUAACGGCCCACCAAGGCGACGAUCAGUAGCCGGCCUGAGAGGGUGAACGGCCACAUUGGGACUGAGACACGGCCCAA